RNAcentral lists this long non-coding RNA (228 nucleotides) under Ananas comosus (pineapple). Its description in RNAcentral is "long non-coding RNA (ACOM_LNC035008)". The record is from RNAcentral. Lineage: Eukaryota; Viridiplantae; Streptophyta; Magnoliopsida; Poales; Bromeliaceae.
GCUUGUCCCCGUGCAGCAUCACCAGCGCCAUCCACUACAUCAGCACAGCCGUCAUCUCAGCCGUCCUUUGGAGCAGCUCCGAGUUUUCGCUAGGAGGACAGAUCAUCUAUGCCACGUCAGGGCGAGCGGCGACAGCAGACUCCGAGCGGCAGGGUUUAUGCAGCACAGGUGGAGGAUUCUUCAGCGGCCGACCGAGUAGUGACAAGUAUCAUUUUAAUUUCUAGUAUU